GAUGAACGCUGGCGGCGUGCCUAAUACAUGCAAGUCGAGCGAACAGACGAGGAGCUUGCUCCUCUGACGCUAGCGGCGGACGGGUGAGUAACACGUGGAUAACCUACCUAUAAGACUGGGAUAACUUCGGGAAACCGGAGCUAAUACCGGAUAACAUAUUGAACCGCAUGGUUCAAUAGUGAAAGACGGUUUUGCUGUCACUUAUAGAUGGAUCCGCGCCGCAUUAGCUAGUUGGUAAGGUAACGGCUUACCAAGGCAACGAUGCGUAGCCGACCUGAGAGGGUGAUCGGCCACACUGGAACUGAGACACGGUCCAGACUCCUACGGGAGGCAGCAGUAGGGAAUCUUCCGCAAUGGGCGAAAGCCUGACGGAGCAACGCCGCGUGAGUGAUGAAGGUCUUCGGAUCGUAAAACUCUGUUAUUAGGGAAGAACAAAUGUGUAAGUAACUAUGCACGUCUUGACGGUACCUAAUCAGAAAGCCACGGCUAACUACGUG
This 497-nucleotide ribosomal RNA is filed under the name uncultured bacterium. RNAcentral describes it as "partial 16S ribosomal RNA". It matches the Rfam family "Bacterial small subunit ribosomal RNA", at positions 28 to 507 of the family's 1533-position model. The record is from RNAcentral.